GACGAACGCUGGCGGCGUGCUUAACACAUGCAAGUCGAACGAAGAGCGAUGGAAGCUUGCUUCUAUCAAUCUUAGUGGCGAACGGGUGAGUAACGCGUAAUCAACCUGCCCUUCAGGGGGGGACAACAGUUGGAAACGACUGCUAAUACCGCAUACGAUCUAACCUCGGCAUCGAGGAAAGAUGAAAGGUUGCCUCUAUGUAUAAGCUAUCACUGAAGGUGUGGUUUGCGUCUGAUUAUCUAGUUGGUGGGGUAACGGCCCACCAAGGCGAUGAUCAGUAGCCGGUCUGAGAGGAUGAACGGCCACAUUGGGACUGAGACACGGCCCAGACUACUACGGGAGGCAGCAGUGGGGAAUCUUCCGCAAUGGACGAAAGUCUGACGGAGCAACGCCGCGUGAGUGAUGACGGCCUUCGGGUUGUAAAGCUCUGUUAAUCGGGACGAAAGGCCUUCUUGCGAAUAGUGAGAAGGAUUGACGGUACCGGAAUAGAAAGCCACGGCUAACUACGUG
Molecule: ribosomal RNA, 510 nt
Filed under: uncultured bacterium
Lineage: Bacteria
Description: partial 16S ribosomal RNA
Rfam family: Bacterial small subunit ribosomal RNA
Source: RNAcentral